UAAACACUGAGUAAAAAUCCUUCAAUAUUUUUAUUGUAUUUCUGACAGUGUACACACAAAACAAUAAUAUACAAACACACACACACAUACGCUGUCCUUCGGCUUAUUAAAAAGGCUAUGUCAUGUUUUUGCUUGGUCAAAAAAAACAAAACAACAACAACAAAAAACCAACAACCUGUUAUUACUGUGCUGACUUCCUCAUUUUGAAAUGAUUAGUUGUUGUUGUUUUUUUGUUUUUGUUUUUGUUUUUUUUUACAUCAUUUCAUCUUGGUUGAUGAUGGGCACUAACCUGAUGAGCGCACAUGAAUGAAAGUAAAACUUUCUGUGAACGCAGCUGCUUCUCGCCGGGUGCGGUGGCGCGUGCCUGUAAUCCAAGCUACCGGGAGGCUGAGGUUGGAGGAUCGUUUGAGCUCAGGAGCUCUGAGCUGCAGCAGGCUAUGUCGAUCCUCCAACCUCAGCCUCCCGGUUGCUUGGAUUACAGGCACGCGCCACUGCACCCGGCGAGAAGCAGCUGCGUUCACAGGGCUUUUAACUAUGUCUGAGGUGACAUCAUCACAGUAACCUGCUGCCCACCAUUAGCAAAGUUGUAAUGAUGGGCAGCAAAGUUCAGGGAUGAAUGAUGCACAACUGUCCUAUGCAAGUUUUGAGAAAUAUCGUGGUUAACCAAAAUUUUAAGAGUAUUUUGUUACAAUAUUAAGAGGAGGAAGUGCUCAAUGUCAGAAACUGGAUUUGAACCCACACCUCCAGGGGAGGCUGCGACCUGAAUGCAGCGCCUUACACCGCUCGGCCAUCCUGACAUACAUGUGCUGAUUGGGUGGAGGUUACUAGUUUUAGAUACUUUGGAAGAAACAAACAUUAUCCUUCUCAUAACACAUAUAGCAGCUGUUCAGCCAUAGAAACGUACUACGAAUAAUCUGCAAUGUCAUCCAUACUGAUCAUUUGGCUAGUGGGUUUGUGGGACUCGAAAACACGCCUCCAGGAGAAACUGUGCCCGAAUCACAGCACCUUAGCCCGCCAUUACACCAUGGAACCACAACAAAUUAGAUCAGCAUUAUUGUUGUAGUAUUUUUAAAUGUCUGUACAAAAGAAAGAACGCCAGAUGCAUUGCCUGCAGUUUUAGAUUAAUAGUCGUAUAAAACUUUGUUGUUCACAAAAUUUGUAAAUUUAUGGACAAAAUUUGUGCAUAAGUUUUAAAAAUGUACAAUUUCUAUUUGUCUAAGGAGCUUGGAAAGAAAAGCGUCUGGACUUCUUUGAGUUGCUUGAAGACGUUUCACCUCUCAUCCGAGAAGCUUCUUCAGUUCUAAGGGUCAAUGGUGGAGAGUCCCAGAUUUAAACCCAGUGGGAGUUUCCCCCCAAAGAGGGACAAAGGACCCCCUGAUGAUGUUCUACCUAAUCACAUCAGCCAAGGUGUGAAAGUGGGCGUCGGUCCCAAUCAGCCAGGGUUUCGGGUGAGCUCAUUGUGAAACCUGGCCCCACCCUAUCAUGUGAUUUCCUGAGGUCAGAUGGCCCAGGAUGUGAGUGGGCGGUAAGGCGUCUGGGAAGGGAUCUCAAAACUGGAUUAUAGAUGGCAGACAGUUGGUGUCGUAAACCACCGCCUCUGUUCAAAGAUGGUCGCUCACAGUGGACGUCAGCAACUCAAAGAAGUCCAGACGCUUUUCUUUCCAAGCUCCUUAGACUACGAUGACCUGGAUGACUUUGAACCUUCACAGACAUACAAUUUCUAUUUCCAUUUCAAGUUAUGAAGAUAAUUUACUAAACAUGUCUGUGGUUUUUACAGUAAGAAGAAAAUA
Molecule: long non-coding RNA, 1790 nt
Organism: Oreochromis niloticus (Nile tilapia)
Lineage: Eukaryota; Metazoa; Chordata; Actinopteri; Cichliformes; Cichlidae
Source: Ensembl